Molecule: ribosomal RNA, 292 nt
Filed under: uncultured bacterium
Lineage: Bacteria
Description: partial 16S ribosomal RNA
Rfam family: Bacterial small subunit ribosomal RNA
Source: RNAcentral
GUGUCAGCAGCCGCGGUAAUACGGAGGGUGCAAGCGUUGUCCGGAUUUAUUGGGUUUAAAGGGUGCGUAGGCGGCUAUUUAAGUCAGUGGUGAAAUCCAUCAGCUCAACUGAUGAACUGCCAUUGAUACUGGGUAGCUUGAGUACAGACGAGGUAGGCGGAAUUGAAGGUGUAGCGGUGAAAUGCAUAGAUAUCUUCAAGAACACCGAUUGCGAAGGCAGCUUACUAGGCUGUAACUGACGCUGAGGCACGAAAGUGCGGGGAUCAAACAGGAUUAGAAACCCCCGUAGUCC